GGAACAUGUCCUUGAGACAUUAGCAGGAUGCAGAAAUAACAUCUUAGAUGAAUUCAUUCAUUCUACACUUUGGGAUAUUACCUCCAAAGGGGGUGCUUUGAUUAUUAAUUGUGUCUCGCCGUAUCCACUUUGUAGCAGCAACAGCUUCUGUUCACCUGCCAGCACAAAGCGCAGCCCGGCGGCCGCAUUCACAGGUUCCCCCUGUUCUAAUCGGCCCUCAUUGCGAGCAGCCAAAGCAGCUCCUCGCUGGACGCGACGCCAAAAAAAGAGUCUCGCUGUGUUGAUGUGAUGAAACCAGGACGAAGGGAAGCCGGCGUUUUGCCCCGGCGUCACGCCCCGCCACUCCUUCCCUCCAGACGUCUUCAAUUCUUCUUUGCAUCAUGUGAGGUCCCCACGGAGAAGAGUGCACCGAGAUUGAGAAAAUGUAUUUCUCCAGUUUCUGAUGGGAAGUGAAAGAAAAGGCUGGUUAUUUCCUGGUUUCCAAGAAAUUGCAUUAGGCCCAUUCUGCACAUCUGCUGACCGACACACCGCCGCCCUUUUGGAUGCUCAUUCUAAAAGCUAGUGCAAUCAGGUGACUUGGUUACCACUGUGGACUUGAAAGUCACCUUUCAGCGCUUUGAUGUUGCAGGCAGGGAAUGGACACGUGUAUGGAGGCAGACACACAGAAACAUACAGACACACUGGAGCUUCAUUAUUUGCCUGCUUGUCGGAUUGUGUAAGGAUCUUCAGAAACAAAAAUGCAAGUCCAGCUGCCCCCUGAACAGACCCUCAGACAGAGCAUAUGGAGUUCUGGUACGCUACUGGAUGCACACUGAAAUAGGAAUCGUUUUGCUUUCCGACACAAUCCUCUUUUUAUUGCUAUUUAGACGGGCAAUAUUUCUCCGAGUCUACAGGAAUUAGCCGAGGAUGUGGCCGAUGAGUGGGAUGCUAUGCCCUGCCCUUUGACCCCGCCGCAGGCCUGAGGACAGCACGCCACAACGCCUUAACCCAUUGAUCUGUGCUCAAUAUUAGUGACAUUUUGAAAAGUAAUAUUGGACUGUGUUCCACAUAAAUUCUCC
This 1058-nucleotide long non-coding RNA is filed under the name Betta splendens (Siamese fighting fish). RNAcentral's name for it is "lncRNA (ENSBSLG00000006894.1)". Lineage: Eukaryota; Metazoa; Chordata; Actinopteri; Anabantiformes; Osphronemidae. The record is from RNAcentral.